RNAcentral lists this ribosomal RNA (416 nucleotides) under uncultured beta proteobacterium. RNAcentral describes it as "bacterial SSU rRNA". It matches the Rfam family "Bacterial small subunit ribosomal RNA", at positions 9 to 429 of the family's 1533-position model. The record is from RNAcentral. Lineage: Bacteria; Pseudomonadati; Pseudomonadota; Betaproteobacteria.
GAGUUUGAUCUUGGCUCAGAUUGAACGCUGGCGGAAUGCUUUACACAUGCAAGUCGAGCGGCAGCGCGGGGCAACCUGGCGGCGAGCGGCGAACGGGUGAGUAAUGCAUCGGAACGUGUCCAUGUCGUGGGGGAUAGCCCGGCGAAAGCCGGAUUAAUACCGCAUACGCCCGAGAGGGGAAAGUGGGGGACCGCAAGGCCUCACGCGAUUGGGUCGGCCGAUGUCCGAUUAGCUAGUUGGCGGGGUAAAGGCCCACCAAGGCGAUGAUCGGUAGCUGGUCUGAGAGGAUGAUCAGCCACACUGGGACUGAGACACGGCCCAGACUCCUACGGGAGGCAGCAGUGGGGAAUUUUGGACAAUGGGGGCAACCCUGAUCCAGCCAUUCCGCGUGAGUGAAGAAGGCCUUCGGUUGUAAG